Molecule: long non-coding RNA, 841 nt
Filed under: Dunaliella salina
Lineage: Eukaryota; Viridiplantae; Chlorophyta; Chlorophyceae; Chlamydomonadales; Dunaliellaceae
Description: long non-coding RNA (DSAL_LNC000217)
Source: RNAcentral
UGAUCACAUUGAGCAAAGGAGUCGGCAUUGCAUUGCGCUGCAAGUGAGACCAAAGCUGCUGUCUGGGCACGGUGUCAUAAGCUUGAGAAAAAUCAAUAAAAGCAACGUGCAACCUGGGAGAAUUUCGUGGCUUCAAUUUUUUCGCAGCAUGUUUGAGGUGCCUCAAAAUAAACAGAGGAUGCAGAGUGCUCCUGCCUGGAAAGAAGCCAAACUGCGUGUCCGGAAUCUUACCCUUUUUCACACACCAGUCUGUCACCAGAUUUUUCAGCACGUUAGCAUAAAUCCUAUACAUUACACCGCUAACUGCAAUCAUCCUAUAAUUCCCAGGUUUCAGCACUUCUCCUUUUUUGUGAAUGGGGCUCAACUUGGCAACCUUCCAGCACGCAGGCACUUUACUUUCAGUCAGCAACACUUUAAAAAGACGAGCCAUCAGAGGCACCAGCACAUUUACUUGUUUGGUUUUAUUCCCAUACUGCACCGGCAAGCACGCAUGCUUAAGAAAAGGAAUCGGGAUCGCAUCAAAGCCUGAAGAGGCACCAGUACUCAACUUCUGAAAUUCACUACCCAACAUACCUUCUAACACAGAUACAUCAGGGAUCUCAAACUCAUCUGGCUCAGGAGCCCACCCAGAUUGCGCGCCCCGCCUGAGUAGGACCUCAGGUGGAAGGUUGCGCCGGCCCAGUGGCACAGCCAUAUCCCUCGCAGAUGGGCGAGACUCUUCAAAUGUCCUCUCUGCUCUGAAGUGUCUGUGUAAGUGAUCAUGCCAAGCUGGAGCAGGCACAGGGGUUGUGUGAGACUUGGUGUGCUUUUUCAGUAAAGCGUGCACUGCCGGAUCUUUCCG